UACGGAGGAUGCGAGCGUUAUCCGGAUUCAUUGGGUUAAAAGGGUGCGUAGGCGGCUGUUCAAGUCAGCGGUAAAAUACAAGGGCCUAACCCUCGACGUGCCGUUGAAACUGAGUGGCUAGAAUGCGGAUGCUGUGGGAGGAAUGUGUAGUGUAGCGGUGAAAUGCAUAGAUAUUACACAGAACACCGAUUGCGAAGGCAUCUCACAAAUCCGCUAUUGACGCUGAGGCACGAAAGUGCGGGGAUCAAAC
RNAcentral lists this ribosomal RNA (250 nucleotides) under uncultured prokaryote. RNAcentral's name for it is "partial 16S ribosomal RNA". It matches the Rfam family "Bacterial small subunit ribosomal RNA", at positions 524 to 773 of the family's 1533-position model. The record is from RNAcentral.